UACGUAGGGUGCAAGCGUUGUCCGGAAUUAUUGGGCGUAAAGAGCUCGUAGGCGGUUGGUCGCGUCGGCUGUGAAAACCCGGAGCUCAACUCCGGGCCUGCAGUCGAUACGGGCCGACUUGAGUGUUGCAGGGGAGACUGGAAUUCCUGGUGUAGCGGUGAAAUGCGCAGAUAUCAGGAGGAACACCGGUGGCGAAGGCGGCAUCCUGGACCAACACUGACGCUGAGUGAGCGAAAGCCAGGGGAGCAAACGGG
This 254-nucleotide ribosomal RNA is filed under the name uncultured bacterium. Its description in RNAcentral is "partial 16S ribosomal RNA". It matches the Rfam family "Bacterial small subunit ribosomal RNA", at positions 524 to 776 of the family's 1533-position model. The record is from RNAcentral.